UUUCAGCAUCAAGAGUUGGGUCGACGCCCGACGCCAACCUGCCGAUCCGGGCAAGGUGGCACUCCGCAAGGAGGAUGUGGCCGACCCGGCAAGAAACGGAUCAAGC
RNAcentral lists this non-coding RNA (106 nucleotides) under Novosphingobium lindaniclasticum LE124. RNAcentral's name for it is "Novosphingobium sp. LE124 SAM-I/IV (S-adenosyl methionine) riboswitch aptamer". It matches the Rfam family "SAM-I/IV (S-adenosyl methionine) riboswitch aptamer". Rfam says of the family: It is found upstream of a number of genes which code for proteins involved in methionine or cysteine biosynthesis. It has been found mostly in the order Actinomycetales. Lineage: Bacteria; Pseudomonadati; Pseudomonadota; Alphaproteobacteria; Sphingomonadales; Sphingomonadaceae. RNAcentral also lists the same sequence under 1 other name. The record is from Rfam by way of RNAcentral.